GGUUAAGUGACUAAGCGUACACGGUGGAUGCCUAGGCAGUCAGAGGCGAUGAAGGGCGUGCUAAUCUGCGAAAAGCGUCGGUAAGGUGAUAUGAACCGUUACAACCGGCGAUACCCGAAUGGGGAAACCCAGUGUGUUUCGACACACUAUCAUGUCAUGAAUACAUAGUGGCAUGAGGCGAACCGGGGGAACUGAAACAUCUAAGUACCCCGAGGAAAAGAAAUCAACCGAGAUUCCCCCAGUAGCGGCGAGCGAACGGGGAGGAGCCCAGAACCUGAAUCGGCUUGUGUGUUAGUGGAAGCGUCUGGAAAGUCGCGCAGUAAAGGGUGAUAGCCCCGUACACUAAAAUGCACAGGUCGUGAGUUCGAUGAGUAGGGCGGGACACGUGACAUCCUGUCUGAAUAUGGGGGGACCAUCCUCCAAGGCUAAAUACUCCUGACUGACCGAUAGUGAACCAGUACCGUGAGGGAAAGGCGAAAAGAACCCCGGCGAGGGGAGUGAAAUAGAACCUGAAACCGUGUACGUACAAGCAGUGGGAGCACCUUCGUGGUGUGACUGCGUACCUUUUGUAUAAUGGGUCAGCGACUUAUAUUUUGUAGCAAGGUUAACCGUAUAGGGGAGCCGUAGGGAAACCGAGUCUUAACUGGGCGA
Molecule: ribosomal RNA, 651 nt
Filed under: Serratia marcescens
Lineage: Bacteria; Pseudomonadati; Pseudomonadota; Gammaproteobacteria; Enterobacterales; Yersiniaceae
Also listed under: 1 other name
Description: partial 23S ribosomal RNA
Rfam family: Bacterial large subunit ribosomal RNA
Source: RNAcentral